GGCAGUGCACGAGUCCUUAACUGACGCUAAAGCUCGAAAGUGCGGGUAUCGAACAGGAUUAGAUACCCUGGUAGUCCGCACGGUAAACGAUGGAUGCCCGCUGUUGGCGAUAUAAUGUCAGCGGCCAAGUGAAAACGUUAAGCAUCCCACCUGGGGAGUACGCCGGCAACGGUGAAACUCAAAGGAAUUGACGGGGGCCCGCACAAGCGGAGGAACAUGUGGUUUAAUUCGAUGAUACGCGAGGAACCUUACCCGGGCUUGAACUGCAGGGGAACGAUCCAGAGAUGGUGAGGUCAGCAAUGACUCCUGUGGAGGUGCUGCAUGGUUGUCGUCAGCUCGUGCCGUGAGGUGUCGGCUUAAGUGCCAUAACGAGCGCAACCCUUUUCUCUAGUUGCCAUCAGGUUAGGCUGGGCGCUCUGGAGACACUGCCACCGUAAGGUGUGAGGAAGGUGGGGAUGACGUCAAAUCAGCACGGCCCUUACGUCCGGUGCUACACACGUGGACGGGCGGUGUGUACAGAGACUUAGUCGUUCGCAAGAACGGUUUAAUCAAGAAAGUCAUCCUCAGUUCGGAUUGGGGUAUGCAACCCGACCCCAAGAAG
RNAcentral lists this ribosomal RNA (601 nucleotides) under uncultured bacterium. Its description in RNAcentral is "bacterial SSU rRNA". It matches the Rfam family "Bacterial small subunit ribosomal RNA", at positions 720 to 1325 of the family's 1533-position model. The record is from RNAcentral.